This 445-nucleotide ribosomal RNA is filed under the name uncultured bacterium. RNAcentral's name for it is "bacterial SSU rRNA". It matches the Rfam family "Bacterial small subunit ribosomal RNA", at positions 330 to 792 of the family's 1533-position model. The record is from RNAcentral.
UCCAGACUCCUACGGGAGGCAGCAGUGGGGGAUAUUGCACAAUGGGGGAAACCCUGAUGCAGCAACGCCGCGUGAGUGAAGAAGUAUUUCGGUAUGUAAAGCUCUAUCAGCAGGGAAGAGAAUGACGGUACCUGACUAAGAAGCCCCGGCUAACUACGUGCCAGCAGCCGCGGUAAUACGUAGGGGGCGAGCGUUAUCCGGAUUUACUGGGUGUAAAGGGAGCGUAGACGGCUGGUCAAGUCUGAAGUGAAAGCCCGGGGCUUAACCCCGGAACGGCUUUGGAAACUGAGCAGCUAGAGUGCUGGAGAGGUAAGCGGAAUUCCUAGUGUAGCGGUGAAAUGCGUAGAUAUUAGGAGGAACACCAGUGGCGAAGGCGGCUUACUGGACAGUAACUGACGUUGAGGCUCGAAAGCGUGGGGAGCAAACAGGAUUAGAUACCCGUGUA